AGCAAUCAGCGAGACUCCGUGGGCGUAGGACCCUCCGAGCCAGGUGCGGGAUAUAAUCUCGUCGUGCGCCAUUUUUUAAGCCCGUCGGAAAUGCGCAGUAUUCGGGUGGGAGUGACCCGAUUUUCCAGGUGCCGUCCGUCACCCCUUUCUUUGAUUAGGAAAGGGAACUCCCUGACCCCUAGCACUUCCCGAGUGAGGCAAUGCCUCGCCCUGCUUCGGCUCGCGCACGGUGCGCACCCACUGACCUGCGCCCACUGUCUGGCGCUCCCUAGUGAGAUGAACCCGGUACCUCAGAUGGAAAUGCAGAAAUCACCCGUCUUCUGCGUCGCUCAGGCUGAUUGCUGCAGACCGGAGCUGUUCCUAUUCGGCCAUCUUGCCUCCUCCCCCGGAAUUUUCUUAAUUGACCCUGGGCCAGGGAAAGAAAUGAAUGAAGAUGCCACCUUAUGCCCAGAACACAUCUCUCAUUCAAUGAUAAAGGAUUUGUGGUUGGGUCAACUUUUGUGAUGCUCAACUCUUUCCUUCGUAAGGACGGGCUCUUUCUCAGGAGGCUUUUGUACUCCCAAUUAACGCACUGCUGUAAGUUUGCCAUAUCAUUAUGUAACACAUACCUGGAUGUGUUUGAACUCUGUCUCAGGAUGAAGCUAUGAUGUCCCAUUGCAAUUGUUUUGAAAUCUGCUUCCUGUAUCCAGAGAGAGGGGCAUUAAGAUCCCAGAGAUACGUAGUUAAACAUAACCUGCAUAUCAGCUGCUCUUCAUUGCAAAAUGUCUGUGUUUGCACAUAAUACCUUAAUGUUUUCAGCUUCAGCUCACUUCAACAUAGACAUUUAUGGGAUCUUUUCAAACCUAUCCUUCUCCAUUUAUUCACACCACAAAAUCUAGUGAUCGGCAUAGACCCUGAUAAAACUUUUGUAGGGAGAAUGAGGAUGGGGCUUAUAUUGCAUAAUAUAUUAAUCUAACUUCAGCUAUGUUGUGAUAAUAAAUAAACCUUCAGAUCUUAAUGACUUUGUAUAAACAAUAAGUAUUUCUCUCCCAUGCAGAAUCUGAUGAAGCUCUAUUUUGUAGCUAUGCCAUCUGGAUCACAUAGCCUCCAAGGCCAGCAGAGCAGAGGAAGACAAAGAGCAGAGCAAGAUAGAGGUGGAAGUUACACGUCCUUUGUGCUUACUUUCUACUGGCCUCAUCGGGUCGCAAGAUCCCACUCUGAUAGGUGCAUGGGGGCUUGGAAAAUUAGAAAAACAUGUGAAUAUUUGGUAGGCACUUACAAUCUCUGCCAGCAUCUGCCCUUCUAAUCAGCAAAUUUUCAAUUACUUUUUUCUUCACCCACAUAAGACAUCUUAAUCCAACCUCAGGGGACACAUCCUGAUGUCCAAUCUAGUCACUACUUCAAGCUUAAUGGGAUACAUGGGCCUCUCUGUCAUGUCUGCAUGAGGCUCUUCUUGAUCAGUUGACCUAUGAACUGAAAGAAAGCAUAUAUCGUUGUCCUCCACUGUCUAUAUCACUGCAUACAGAGUGGUGGAAAGGAACAGAAUAACGAUGGUAUACAUUCCUAUUUGAAAGGGGAUGAUUAGAGACACAAAACAAUGAUAACAUCUCACUGGUCAGACAUGGUGAAAGUUCCCCUGUGCAGGGGAUGGUAAAUGUUCCUUAAUUAGGCCUUGGUUCUGGUCCUCGAGAGGCAUUCUUUUAUCCAUUGUCCUCUAUGGCUGUAAUCUGUGCCCUCCAAGAUAUUCUUUCUUUUCCAUUACUCUCUGAAGUGGUUGAGGGGGAAUACGUCUUCCUUUGGGGCUGCACGGUUUUCUCAGCAAACUUCUUUCCCACAGAACAUUGGCAGCUUAAGGGUUAUAAGUCUCAAAAUGUCAGUGGCUUUUUUUAGUCCAGGCUCAUGAUUUAUUUAACAAUGCAUUUCCCUCAAACACACAGUAGGCUUCUGAUCUAUUUGCUUUAAAUAACUUUCAUGUGGUAGUAACCACACCUAAAGUUCUUUUCUAGGCAUAAUUCUAAAAUCUGCUUUGUUUCGUUGCUUUCUCACUUCUGUGCAUUUCUCUCUCUUCUAUAUGGGGGCUGUGUUGAAGAUGUCUGACUAAGAGGUAGAAAGUUCACACACUUAAUCUGUUUACACUCUUAAUUGAUUCUCAUCCUAAGUCAUUUCAUCCAAUGGGGACAUUUCACUGUGAUUUUGUGGCAGUCUUUUGAGAUGCCAAGUCUUCCUGUUUAGAGCCUAGAAGUAGUCACUGUUCCAACUUAGAAACUUCCAAAUUUCUGAACGAUUUUUAUUCCUUUCAUUUCUGUUUGCAAGCCAGCCAGGGUUUUCCUGAGCUUAUUUCAUUAUUGUAAUCCUCUGCCAAAUACAGCCAACAUUCACUUUCAACAUUGUUUCCCUAAGUCGUUGGACUCAGAAGCCCCACAGUCUGCCUCCCAAAUUACCACAGGAUUUUAAUUUUUGCCAAAUGGUUUCCUACUGCUUAAAAUGGAUUGCCAUUUUUUCCAGCCUCUAACAUUGGAUUCUUCACUGCCCUCUGCCUAAUUACUAAGUCAUUGCUACACGUUUCAGGUUUCUUUGUGUUGGCCUCUUAUCACUGAUAAAAAUUCUGAAUUUGUUAGGAUAGGCUAGACUAUGCUGUGAAAACAAAUAUCCCCAUUUCAAUUCACUUGCUGAACAAAAUGAAGUUAUCUUUUUUGUUCACACAAAAUCUCCAGGUUCCCGUCUGAUUUCACUUUGGGCUGUGGUUGUGAGUAUUGGAGAAGUAUAAAUUGUGGGGCAAAUGGAAAGGAAGUUCAAGGUGACAUUUUGCUUAGCAAACUCGAAGUGUAUGUUGGUAUUAUUGCUUAGGUAUGGUAUAUUUAUUUGUAUGUUUACAUAGUGUGACUGCCUAAUGGCAUUAAAAAAAUCUAUAGUGCAUGGUUCACUGUUUUCCCUUCGCUGAGAAGAGCAAUGAGUAAGAAUAGAAAUAGGAAUAUAUUUUAUCUGAUGAACCAGGGUGAAAAUUAGCAAAAAAUUUGUGACAGUGGAUAUAUAAAAUAAAAUUUCCCCUUAAGUUAUAUAAUCAUGUUUACACUUUUUGCAUAUGUAACUAAAUGAAUGUAUACUUUCUUCUAGUGGCUUACUGGUAGAAAAUAAACACAGAUGUUUUUGUUUUAUAUUU
RNAcentral lists this long non-coding RNA (3139 nucleotides) under Homo sapiens (human). RNAcentral's name for it is "HSALNT0339168". The record is from RNAcentral. Lineage: Eukaryota; Metazoa; Chordata; Mammalia; Primates; Hominidae.